Long non-coding RNA from Salvia splendens (bonfire salvia), 791 nucleotides. RefSeq lists it as uncharacterized. The transcript is spliced from 3 exons. NCBI's taxonomy places the organism in Eukaryota, Viridiplantae, Streptophyta, Magnoliopsida, Lamiales, Lamiaceae. The record is from RefSeq and is a predicted model, not a curated record.
CAAUCCCUGCAAGUCAAUCACCAAAAGAGGACUCAUUAGAUCAACCAAUUUUAAGGCAAAGAAUUACACAAAUUUGGCAAGAAGCCAUAUAACCCAAGUUCAAGAAGAAAAGACUUGUACACAAAUGGAAAAGUAUCAAAUAAAUCCUAAGGAGAACCUCUGCAAUACUAUCUUCAAGGUUUAAAGUAAGGACAAGGAGGCAUAAAAUAAAAACGUAGAGCUCAUCAUGUUGUCAAAAAGGAAAAAACAUAUCCGACUCCCAAGAAUAAAAUAACAAUGAAUUAUCAAUUAGUGAGUUCCCCAAAGGUUGCACAAACUAGGCGAAAAGGCUUUUUAGCUCAGCUCAAAAGAGAGGUUAGUUGUUAGCUCAAAUUAGAAAUUGGAGCUCUCCAAUGCCUUACACCAAUUUAGUAGUGAAGCUUUAAGCCCAAAAUAAAAAAGAAGAGAGAAUCUUUAACCCAAAUUAGACACAAAAUGCCAAGGAAUUUUGGCUAUAAAUACCAGCCCCACCACCAUCUCCUUCCUCACACCUCUCAACGUUCACAAAUCACAAGAUGUGCAGCAAGAGAGGAAGGAGUGGCGGCGAGCUUAAGGGCAGUCCGGUGUUCGAAGGAGUCAUCGAGAAAGAGCUCUAGGUUUUUACUUCCAUGGAGGAAAAAGUGAGGAGAUUAGAAGGGGGCAGUCUAAUCAAGGAGUCUUGGACCCUAGAGUGCACGGCGGUGAGCGAAUUGGUAGUCCGUUCACAGCAGAAGGUUGAGCAGUGAUGACAGCGGGCGGUGUUGAGCAUAGAC